ACAAAACCAAUAGGGAGGGAAAAGGAAAUACGCCCUGUGUCGGAGAGACGGCACACCACCCUGUAUGGAGCAAAGGCAACUUAGUGAAUGCCCACGUACUAAACACCACAGGCGAUUUUUAUUUUGGGCAUAGGUUAGCUUUUCCCUUCCAGCUGCAGGAGGGUACAGGCCAGUGCAGGAUGAGCUCUCCAACUUGCAGUCCGAAGGUCUGAGCAGCAAAUCUCACUGAGCGAACUAACAGGGAUCUGCAAGCUGCAGCAAGCACCCCAAACCCUCUCUGCAAAGCUGCAGAAGGAAGAAGAGGAAGGUGUCAGAAGCACUGGCUGUGGUAGCCUUGACAGAACAGAGAAAACAACAUUUGGUAAUCUGAAGCAGGAAGGAAUUAUCAGGAAGAACAUGACCUAGUCAGCCACAGCUCAUGAAAUCAAAGAAAUCAUGGAAGCAAGGUUAGACUUGAUGAGUCCGUGGAUCUCAGAGGAUGGUUGACACUUCUAUUCUGUCUUAUCAAGUCUUCACUGGUAAAAUAGGAUUUGACCUCCAUUACAUGCUGUAAUAGCCUAAACAAAUGGGAAUUAAAAUGCUAAUGGCUGUAACAACUCUACCAGCUACCAGUCACUAUGUAUCACCUAACCCAAAGCCACCUCCUCUGGCACCAA
This is a non-coding RNA of Chiloscyllium plagiosum (whitespotted bambooshark), 656 nucleotides long. NCBI's taxonomy places the organism in Eukaryota, Metazoa, Chordata, Chondrichthyes, Orectolobiformes, Hemiscylliidae. The record is from RefSeq and is a predicted model, not a curated record.